Molecule: ribosomal RNA, 973 nt
Filed under: uncultured bacterium
Lineage: Bacteria
Description: bacterial SSU rRNA
Rfam family: Bacterial small subunit ribosomal RNA
Source: RNAcentral
GUAAUAUAUAGUUAACGUGCCUCUUAGCCUGGGAUAGCCACUGGAAACGGUGAUUAAUACUGGAUACUCCUUCUAACUUAAUGUUAGUCGGGAAAGGUUUUUCGCUAAGAGAUCGGACUAUAUUGUAUCAGCUAGUUGGGGAGGUAAUGGCUCACCAAGGCAAUGACACAUAGCGGGUUUGAGAGGAUGAUCCGCCACACUGGUACUGAGACACGGACCAGACUCCUACGGGAGGCAGCAGUGAGGAAUAUUGCACAAUGGGGGAAACCCUGAUGCAGCAACGCCGCGUGGAGGAUGACGCAUUUCGGUGUGUAAACUCCUUUUAUAAGAGAAGAAAAUGACGGUAUCUUAUGAAUAAGUCCCGGCUAACUCCGUGCCAGCAGCCGCGGUAAUACGGAGGGGACAAGCGUUAUUCGGAAUCACUGGGCGUAAAGGACGCGUAGGCGGGUUAUUAAGUCGGGUGUGAAAUCCAAUGGCUCAACCAUUGAACUGCAUUCGAAACUGGUGACCUAGAGUAUGGAAGGGGCAGGUGGAAUUAGUGGUGUAGGGGUAAAAUCCGUAGAUAUCACUAGGAAUACCGAAAGCGAAGGCGACCUGCUGGGACAUUACUGACGCUGAGGCGUGAAAGCGUGGGGAGCAAACAGGAUUAGAUACCCUGAUAGUCCACGCCCUAAACCAUGAAUGCUAAUCGUCGGGGAGCGUGACUCUGCUGCUACGCACUUAACAUAAUAAAAAAAUCCGCCUGGCGCAGGGCAGUCGCGCGACUAGAAUUAAAAUCAAAGGAAUAGACACGCGACCCACCCGAUGGGAGCAUGCAGUUUAAUUCGUAGAUACAUCAACGAACCAUACCUACUCUGACGUUGAUUGAAUCUUUCAUAGAUGAGAGAGUGCCUUUCGGGAACAUGAAAACAAGAGCUGCACGGCUGUCGUCAGCUCGUGUCGUGAGAUGUUGGGUAAAUCCCGCAACGAGCGC